GACAUUGUGGCGUAAUGGAAGCGCGCCUGAUUGCAGGAGGUCUGGGUUCGAUUCCCAGCAAUGCCA
Non-coding RNA from Aphanomyces astaci, 66 nucleotides. The record is from Rfam. Lineage: Eukaryota; Oomycota; Saprolegniomycetes; Saprolegniales; Verrucalvaceae.